RNAcentral lists this ribosomal RNA (464 nucleotides) under uncultured bacterium. RNAcentral's name for it is "partial 16S ribosomal RNA". It matches the Rfam family "Bacterial small subunit ribosomal RNA", at positions 28 to 507 of the family's 1533-position model. The record is from RNAcentral.
GACGAACGCUGGCGGCGUGCUUAACACAUGCAAGUCGCACGGAAAGGCCCUGCUUGCAGGGUACUCGAGUGGCGAACGGGUGAGUAACACGUGGGUGAUCUGCCCUGCACUUCGGGAUAGCCCGGGGAAAUGGGUCUAAUACCGGGUAGGAGCCCUUUUUUAUGGGGUGGGUGGAAAGGUUUUUUCGGUUUGGAUGAGGCGGCGGCCUAUCAGGUUGUUGGUGGGGUAAUGGCCUACCAAGGCGGCGACGGGUAGCCGGCCUGAGAGGGUGGACGGCCACAUUGGGACUGAGAUACGGCCCAGACUCCUACGGGAGGCAUCAGGGGGGAAUAUUGCACAAUGGGCGCAAGCCUGAUGCAGCGACGCCGCGUGGGGGAUGACGGCCUUCGGGUUGUAAACUCCUUUCGCUAGGGACGAAGCUUUUUGUGACGGUACCUAGAUAAGAAGCACCGGCUAACUACGUG